This 292-nucleotide ribosomal RNA is filed under the name uncultured bacterium. RNAcentral describes it as "partial 16S ribosomal RNA". It matches the Rfam family "Bacterial small subunit ribosomal RNA", at positions 505 to 796 of the family's 1533-position model. The record is from RNAcentral.
GUGCCAGCCGCCGCGGUAAUACGUAAGUGGCGAGCGUUAUCCGGAAUUACUGGGCGUAAAGCGUGCGUAGGCGGUUUAGUGUGUGGGAUUUGAAAGCCCGGGGCUCAACUCCGGAUCCGGAUCCCAAACUGCUAGACUCGAGAGUAUCAGAGGAGAGCGGAAUUCCCGGUGUAGCGGUAAUAUGCGUAGAUAUCGGGAGGAACACCAGUGGCGAAGGCGGCUCUCUGGGGUAUUUCUGACGCUGAGGCACGAAAGCCAGGGGAGCGAACGGGAUUAGAAACCCUCGUAGUCC